UAGGAUAAGGUGUAUUAGGUAGCACGGAGAAGUUUGGGUUCUCAAGGGCAGGUUCGAUGCCUGCGAUCUUAG
RNAcentral lists this transfer RNA (72 nucleotides) under Allochrocebus preussi insularis. RNAcentral's name for it is "tRNA-Gln". Lineage: Eukaryota; Metazoa; Chordata; Mammalia; Primates; Cercopithecidae. The record is from RNAcentral.